CCGCUGGCGAAGUCGGCUCCCCGACAAAGAACGACGAUCAUGUGCUAAAGCGUGGUGAGCAAACAGGAUUAUAUGCCCUCGUAGUUCUCCCCGUAGACGACGUCGUCUUCGAGGUUGUUCCCCCGAUGAGUGGCUUCUUGAGCUAACGCCUUAAUUCGACCGCCUCGUGAGUACGGCCGCAACGUUAAAAAUCAAAAGAAUUGACGGGGGGCCGCCCAAGCGGUGGAGCAUCUGGUUUAAUUAGAUGCAACGCGGAGAACCUUACCUACUCUUGACAUCCAGAGAACAUAUCAGAGAUGAUUUGGUGCCUUCGGGAACUAUUAGACAGGUGGUGCAUGGCGGUUGUCAUCUCCUGUUGUGAAAAGUUGGGUUAAGUCCCGCAACGAGGGCAACCCUUAUCCUUUUUUGCCAGCGGUUCGGCCGGGAAGUCAAAAGAGGCUGCCAGCGAUAAAAUGGAGGAAGGUGGGGGGGACGUCAAGUCAUCAUGGCCCUUACGAGUAGGGGUACACCCCUGCUACAAUGGUGCAUCCAAAGAGAAGAGGCCUCGUGGGAGCAAGCGGGCCUCAUAAAAAGCGUCGUAGUCCGGAUUGGAGUUUUCAACUAGUCUCCAUGAAGUAGGAAUCGUUAGUAAUUGUAGAUCAGAAUGAUACGGCGAAUAAGUUCCCGGGCCUUGUACACCCCCCCCCUCACCCCACCGGAGGGGGGUGCAAAAAAAGUAGGUAGCUUAACCUUCGGGAGGGC
Molecule: ribosomal RNA, 741 nt
Filed under: Leclercia sp.
Lineage: Bacteria; Pseudomonadati; Pseudomonadota; Gammaproteobacteria; Enterobacterales; Enterobacteriaceae
Description: partial 16S ribosomal RNA
Rfam family: Bacterial small subunit ribosomal RNA
Source: RNAcentral